UUCCGGGUUGAUCCUGCCGGAGGUUACUGCUAUCGGUGUUCGUCUAAGCCAUGCGAGUCAUAUGUAGCAAUACAUGGCAUACUGCUCAGUAACACGUGGAUAACCUGCCCUUGGGACCGGUAUAACCCCGGGAAACUGGGGAUAAUUCCGGAUACCGCAUAUAUGCUGGAAUGCUUUAUGCGUCAAAUGGAUUCGUCCGCCCAAGGAUGGGUCUGCGGCCUAUCAGGUAGUAGUGGGUGUAAUGUACCUACUAGCCUACAACGGGUACGGGUUGUGAGAGCAAGAGCCCGGAGAUGGAUUCUGAGACAUGAAUCCAGGCCCUACGGGGCGCAGCAGGCGCGAAAACUUUACAAUGCGGGAAACCGUGAUAAGGGGACACCGAGUGCUAGCAUCAUAUGCUGGCUGUCCAGGUGUGUAAAAUACACCUGUUAGCAAGGGCCGGGCAAGACCGGUGCCAGCCGCCGCGGUAACACCGGCGGCCCGAGUGGUGAUCGUGAUUAUUGGGUCUAAAGGGUCCGUAGCCGGUUUGGUCAGUCCUCCGGGAAAUCUGAUAGCUCAACUAUUAGGCUUUCGGGGGAUACUGCCAGGCUUGGAACCGGG
This 600-nucleotide ribosomal RNA is filed under the name uncultured archaeon. Its description in RNAcentral is "bacterial SSU rRNA". It matches the Rfam family "Archaeal small subunit ribosomal RNA", at positions 1 to 603 of the family's 1478-position model. The record is from RNAcentral.